GAGUUUGAUCGUGGCUCAGGAUGAACGCUGGCGGCGUGCCUAACACAUGCAAGUCGAGCGAAGCAUACAGGAGGAAGUUUUCGGAUGGAAUCCUGCAUGGCUGAGCGGCGGACGGGUGAGUAACGCGUGGGUAACCUGCCUUAUACAGGGGGAUAACAGUUAGAAAUGACUGCUAAUACCGCAUAAGCGCACAGUACCGCAUGGUAGUGUGUGAAAAACUCCGGUGGUAUAAGAUGGACCCGCGUCUGACUAGCCAGUUGGCGAGGUAACGGCUCACCAAGGUCGACGAUCAGUAGCUGGUCUGAGAGGAUGAUCCGCCACACUGGGACUGAGACACGGCCCAGACUCCUACGGGAGGCAG
RNAcentral lists this ribosomal RNA (361 nucleotides) under uncultured microorganism. RNAcentral describes it as "bacterial SSU rRNA". It matches the Rfam family "Bacterial small subunit ribosomal RNA", at positions 9 to 351 of the family's 1533-position model. The record is from RNAcentral.